Molecule: non-coding RNA, 170 nt
Filed under: chicken gut metagenome
Description: Lysine riboswitch
Rfam family: Lysine riboswitch aptamer
About the family: Riboswitches are metabolite binding domains within certain messenger RNAs that serve as precision sensors for their corresponding targets. Allosteric rearrangement of mRNA structure is mediated by ligand binding, and this results in modulation of gene expression.
Source: RNAcentral
GAAGGUAGAGGUCGCGUGGUUGAUGAGUAAUCUGUUGGAUAUGAAUCGGCAUAGGAGAAGACAGAUGAAAGGCGAAACGCCGAAGACAGAGCCAGCCGUUAAGGUUUUUGUCUGGGCAUAUGGUGAAGAAUCAUAUGACUGUCAUCUGAAAUAGAUGGAGGGCUACUUAA